RNAcentral lists this ribosomal RNA (468 nucleotides) under uncultured bacterium. RNAcentral describes it as "partial 16S ribosomal RNA". It matches the Rfam family "Bacterial small subunit ribosomal RNA", at positions 28 to 507 of the family's 1533-position model. The record is from RNAcentral.
GAUGAACGCUGGCGGCGUGCUUAACACAUGCAAGUCGAACGGUGAAGGCGGAGCUUGCUCUGCUGGAUCAGUGGCGAACGGGUGAGUAACACGUGAGCAAUCUGCCCCUGACUCUGGGAUAAGCGCUGGAAACGGCGUCUAAUACUGGAUACGAGCUGCGAAGGCAUCUUCAGCAGCUGGAAAGAACUUCGGUCAGGGAUGAGCUCGCGGCCUAUCAGCUUGUUGGUGAGGUAACGGCUCACCAAGGCGUCGACGGGUAGCCGGCCUGAGAGGGUGACCGGCCACACUGGGACUGAGGCACGGCCCAGACUGCUACGGGAGGCAACAGUGGGGAAUAUGACACAAUGGGCGAAAGCCUGAUGCAGCAACGCCGCGUGAGGGACGACGGCCUUUGGGUUGUAAACCUCUUUUAGCAGGGAAGAAGCGAAAGUGACGGUACCUGCAGAAAAAGCGCCGGCUAACUACGUG